This 1686-nucleotide ribosomal RNA is filed under the name Triticum aestivum (bread wheat). RNAcentral describes it as "partial small subunit ribosomal RNA". Lineage: Eukaryota; Viridiplantae; Streptophyta; Magnoliopsida; Poales; Poaceae. The record is from RNAcentral.
AUGCGCCGCGCCGGCGUGUGCGACCCGACUCUCGCCGGCCUACAUAAGCCGCGCGACCUGAUCAAACCGGGCACGCGACAAGGGCGACCGCGCGAAGCUGCACCCAUCCCGUUUCCAUUUCUCCAACCGAACGCCGGCAUGGCCUCGAAGCUCCCCGACGCGGCCAAGGGCCUCGGCGCCGGCGGCGCCUUGGACGUCGAGGACGGGAGCGGCGGCGGCAAGAAGGUGGCUGGCAGGUGGCCCAGGUUCGUCCACUUCUUCUUCGUCCUCACCGUCGUCACGUGCGCGCUCGUCUACGCGCCGCGGUUUCUGUCGCCCACCGUGCCCGUCGACUUCUUGGGGCCGCGGCAGCCGUCGUCCGGUAGAGCGGCGGCAGUACAAGGACGGAGCGUCGACGGUGGCCGAGGAGGCAAUGAGGGCGACGCGCUGGUCCUCGACAACCAGGUGAACUCCCCGUGCGCGUCGAUGGGCGGCCAUGGCAUCUGCUGCGACCGCUCCGACUUCAACACCGACGUGUGCUUCAUGGCCGGCGACGUGCGCACGGACGCCGCGUCGCUCUCGUUCCUGCUCUUCCCGCCGCCCAACGGCACCGCCAGCGCCAACGCCACCGUGGGGGAGAAGGAGGAGCGGGUGCAGCCCUACACGCGCAAGUGGGAGAAGCACCUGAUGGCCAACAUCCAGGAGGUGCGGCUCCGCGCGGCCCGGCCGGACGAGGCCCAGGACGGGCACCGGUGCGACGUGCGGCACGACGCGCCGGCGCUGGUGAUGACGGCGGGCGGGUACACGGGCAACCUGUUCCACGCGUUCAACGACGGGUUCCUGCCGGCGUGGCUCACGGUGCAGCACCUCCGCCGCCGCGUGGUCCUCGCGGUGCUCGCAUACAACCCGUGGUGGGCCGGCACGUUCCGGGAGCUCGUGUCGGGCCUAUCGGACCACCACGUGAUCGACCUCCUACACGACAAGCGCACGCACUGCUUCCCCGGCGCGAUCGUCGGGACGCGCUUCCACGGCAUCCUCGCCGUCGAGCCGGCCCGGACCAAGGACAACCGGACCCUCGUCAACUUCCACGACUUCCUCGCCGGCGCGUACAAGGACGACAGCACGCCGCCGGAGGCCAAUCAGCAGCAGCAGCAGCAGCAACCAAGGCGGCGGCCGAGGCUGGGGCUGUACUCGCGCAAGGGCACGCGGGUGAUCGAGAACGAGGCGGCGGUGGCGCGGCUGGCGGAGUCGGUGGGGUUCGACGUGUCCAUCCUGGAGACGGCGAACGGGGCGCCGCUGUCGUCGGAGUACGCGGCGGUGAGCGCGUGCGACGUGCUGGUGGGCGUGCACGGCGCGGACCUGACCAAGCUGCUGUUCCUCCGCCCGCGCCGCGCCGCGCUCCUGCAGAUUGCGCCGCUGGGCGUGCCGCACGUGGCUCGCGGGUGCUACGAGAAGGCGACGGCCAUGAUGGAGAUGCACUACGAGCAGUACGACGCGGCGGCGAACGAGAGCUCGCUGGUGCGCAAGUAUCCGGCCGACGACGUGGUGCUGCGCGACCCGGAGGCGGCGACGCGCGAGCGCGGGUGGGACCUCACCGCGCGCGUGUACCUCGGCGGCCAGAACGUGAGCCUCGACCUGGGCCGGUUCGGGGACACCCUGAGGAAGCUGCACUCCCGCGCCCUCCGGCUGCCCGCGGCCGGCCCGUAG